RNAcentral lists this ribosomal RNA (254 nucleotides) under uncultured bacterium. RNAcentral's name for it is "partial 16S ribosomal RNA". It matches the Rfam family "Bacterial small subunit ribosomal RNA", at positions 524 to 776 of the family's 1533-position model. The record is from RNAcentral.
UACGGAGGAUCCAAGCGUUAUCCGGAAUUACUGGGCGUAAAGAGUUGCGUAGGUGGCAUAGUAAGCAGACAGUGAAAGCGUGUGGCUCAACCAUACUCACAUUGUCUGAACUGCUAAGCUUGAGUAUAGGAGAGGUGGCUGGAAUUCCCUGUGUAGGAGUGAAAUCCGUAGAUAUAGGGAGGAACACCAAUGGCGUAGGCAGGCCACUGGCCUAUUACUGACACUAAGGCACGAAAGCGUGGGGAGCAAACGGG